Molecule: ribosomal RNA, 199 nt
Filed under: Hypoponera sp. IT14.01
Lineage: Eukaryota; Metazoa; Arthropoda; Insecta; Hymenoptera; Formicidae
Description: partial large subunit ribosomal RNA
Source: RNAcentral
GAAUUUAAUAUUUUAUAUAAAUAAAGAUAAUUUAUAAAAAAAUAUUUUAUUGGGAGGAUAAUUAAAUUUAAAUAACUUUAAUAUAAAAUAACAAUAAUUUUUGGAUAAUAAUGAAUAAGUAGAAUUUAAGAAAAAAUUAAUUACCUUAGGGAUAACAGCAUGAUAUUUUUUGGUAGUUCAUAUAUAAAAAAAUGUUUAU